This is a long non-coding RNA of Talpa occidentalis (Iberian mole), 367 nucleotides long. RefSeq lists it as uncharacterized. The record is from RefSeq and is a predicted model, not a curated record. The transcript is spliced from 4 exons. NCBI's taxonomy places the organism in Eukaryota, Metazoa, Chordata, Mammalia, Eulipotyphla, Talpidae.
AAGGAAUGCCAGGAAGUGCCAGCAAUCCAGAGAGAUUCUGAGUACUCUGUAAAACCACCUCACCAUAGAUAACAUCAGGUGUUCACCCUACCAUCAGAUGCGGUGGUGGCAGCAUCUUAAGAUCCCUGUGAUGGACUUGGGUAAAGACUGCUUGACCAUGAAGCAUUCCAUCAAGAUUCCCUGGAGAGGAUUCUUAAUGUCUGUGGGUCAUUCAUUCUGUCAAGACUACUCGGCGCUGAAUGUGAUGUGACAGAAGUCCUAGAUGGAAAUCCUUGUUGAUCUUAAGAGAGGGCUAUGGCAGGGUUCCUUAUCAACUGGAUUUCAUGUAACAGCAGCAGAGAAACUGAAGAAUGGAGCCGUGUCGCAG